GAUGAACGCUGGCGGCGUGCUUAACACAUGCAAGUCGAACGGUGAAGGCGGAGCUUGCUCUGCUGGAUCAGUGGCGAACGGGUGAGUAACACGUGAGCAAUCUGCCCCUGACUCUGGGAUAAGCGCUGGAAACGGCGUCUAAUACUGGAUACGAGCUGCGAAGGCAUCUUCAGCAGCUGGAAAGAAUUUCGGUCAGGGAUGAGCUCGCGGCCUAUCAGCUUGUUGGUGGGGUAAUGGCUCACCAAGGCGUCGACGGGUAGCCGGCCUGAGAGGGUGACCGGCCAAAAUGGGACUGAGAAACGGCCCAGAAUCCUACGGGAGGCAGCAGUGGGGAAUAUUGCACAAUGGGCGGAAGCCUGAUGCAGCAACGCCGCGUGAGGGACGACGGCCUUCGGGUUGUAAACCUCUUUUAGCAGGGAAGAAGCGAAAGUGACGGUAACGGCAGAAAAAGCGCCGGCUAACUACGUG
Molecule: ribosomal RNA, 468 nt
Filed under: uncultured bacterium
Lineage: Bacteria
Description: partial 16S ribosomal RNA
Rfam family: Bacterial small subunit ribosomal RNA
Source: RNAcentral